Molecule: ribosomal RNA, 433 nt
Filed under: uncultured bacterium
Lineage: Bacteria
Description: partial 16S ribosomal RNA
Rfam family: Bacterial small subunit ribosomal RNA
Source: RNAcentral
AGCGAACGCUGGCGGCAGGCCUAACACAUGCAAGUCGAACGGAUCCUUCGGGAUUAGUGGCGGACGGGUGAGUAACACGUGGGAACGUGCCCUUUGGUUCGGAACAACUCAGGGAAACUUGAGCUAAUACCGGAUGUGCCCUUCGGGGGAAAGAUUUAUUGCCAUUGGAGCGGCCCGCGUCUGAUUAGCUAGUUGGUGAGGUAACGGCCCACCAAGGCGACGAUCAGUAGCUGGUCGGAGAGGAUGAUCAGCCACACUGGGACUGAGACACGGCCCAGACUCCUACGGGAGGGAGCAGUGGGGAAUCUUGCGCAAUGGGGGAAAGCCUGACGCAGCCAUGCCGCGGGAAUGAUGAAGGUCUUAGGAUUGUAAAAUUCUUUCAGCGGAGACGAUAAUGACGGUACCCGCAGAAGAAGCUCCGGCUAACUUCGUG